AAAGAACUAAAAAAAAGAGGAAGGAAAAGAAAAAAAACAGGGAGAGAUAAAUGAGAACAUCCCUAGGUGUAGAUAGAGAAAGAUAGAGAGAGACUACAAGCUAACCUAAUCUCGAGUAAAUGUAAUACAUAUAUGUGUGUAUAUAUAUAUUGUUUUCUUUGGCGGGUUAGUCGGUUCGAGCAUUGUUAAUGUCUAACGCUUUCGAUUCUCUAUUUACUUAACACUCCUUGAGAGCUCAUUGGAGUUGCAGGAUGCUAACUAGCGCCCCUAGCAGAGAAAAGAGUCACCGAGACGCUGCUGGUUCGCAAUCUGAAUGCGCAGAAGAUUAUAUAAGUUAACAAUGGACGGCGAAUGAUCUUCCGCGCAUCUACCUUGCUCAUAAGCAACGUUUGGGUGACCUGUUCCUCCUUUGAUGGAACUAGUGUCUUCAGAGGAUUCGAAUCUGAAAUUCGUUUCUGCUAUAAGAAGUUUUGUGAUGUUAAACUUCAGGUUGAAACGUUCAUCGAAAUAAAUAAACUACACUUGGAUUGUCCAAUCUAACAUAUUAUGCUUCUAAACGGAAAGAUUCAUGUGUACGAAACAGCGGAAAACGUUGUAAAUUAAAAAUACUCGAACCAGCUAACUCGUCAAGAGUGUGAUCGCUACGGAUUGCAUUCGACAGAAAAAGUCACCUGGGCUGGCCGUUAAAACGGGCCGGAUGGCACGCGCGGAACAGCGAAAAGAAAAUAAAGAAAAGAUAGUGCUCACUGGCCAGAGUUUCUUCCGGACAAUCCCCAAGAAAUUCGUGGCGGUCAAUUCGAGGACAUCCCGAGUGUAUCCGGUUCUAUUCUGGGUACUUCGCGCUGUUAUCGCUUACUUGUACUUAUCCAUCCACGGCUCAGUCUCUGGCCACAGGUCUCCGAUUACCGUCAUCUCGUCGUCAAACGACAAAUAUCGAUGAACGAGGCCUUGGUAUUCUGAGCCUUUCAAUGGCAAGAGUUUCCUCAACUACGGAACCA
Molecule: long non-coding RNA, 998 nt
Organism: Hylaeus volcanicus
Lineage: Eukaryota; Metazoa; Arthropoda; Insecta; Hymenoptera; Colletidae
Exons: 3
Source: RefSeq, a predicted model, not a curated record